GCAAGUCGAACGAUGAACCUCACUUGUGGGGGGAUUAGUGGCGAACGGGUGAGUAACACGUGAGUAACCUGCCCUUGACUCUGGGAUAAGCCUGGGAAACCGGGUCUAAUACUGGAUACGACCUUCUGGCGCAUGCCAUGUUGGUGGAAAGCUUUUGUGGUUUUGGAUGGACUCGCGGCCUAUCAGCUUGUUGGUGGGGUAAUGGCCUACCAAGGCGACGACGGGUAGCCGGCCUGAGAGGGUGACCGGCCACACUGGGACUGAGACACGGCCCAGACUCCUACGGGAGGCAGCAGUGGGGAAUAUUGCACAAUGGGCGCAAGCCUGAUGCAGCGACGCCGCGUGAGGGAUGAAGGCCUUCGGGUUGUAA
Molecule: ribosomal RNA, 370 nt
Filed under: actinobacterium CT50
Lineage: Bacteria; Bacillati; Actinomycetota; Actinomycetes
Description: bacterial SSU rRNA
Rfam family: Bacterial small subunit ribosomal RNA
Source: RNAcentral